AGUGAACGCUGGCGGUAGGCCUAACACAUGCAAGUCGAACGGCAGCACAGUUAGAGCUUGCUUUUACGGGUGGCGAGUGGCGGACGGGUGAGGAAUACAUCGGAAUCUACUUUUUCGUGGGGGAUAACGUAGUGAAACUUACGCUAAUACCGCAUACGACUUACGGGUGAAAGCAGGGGAUCUUCGGACCUUUCGCGAUUGUAUGAGCCGAUGUCGGAUUAGCUAGUUGUCGGGGUAAAGGCCCACCAAGGCGACGAUACGUAGCUGGUCUGAGAGGAUGAUAAGCCACACUGGAACUGAGACAAGGUACAGACGACUACGGGAGGCGGCAGUGGGGAAUAUUGGACAAGGGGAGGAAGAAUGAUCAAGACAUGCCGCGUGGGUGAAGAAGGCCUGCGGGUUGUAAAGCACUUUUGUUGGGAAAGAAAAGCAGCAGGUUAAUACCCCGCUGUUCUGAAGGUACCCAAAGAAUAAGCACCGGCUAACUUCGUG
Molecule: ribosomal RNA, 492 nt
Filed under: uncultured bacterium
Lineage: Bacteria
Description: partial 16S ribosomal RNA
Rfam family: Bacterial small subunit ribosomal RNA
Source: RNAcentral